UACGAGGGGGGCAAGCGUUGCUCGGAAUCACUGGGCGUAAAGGGUGCGUAGGCGGGUCUUUAAGUCAGGGGUGAAAUCCUGGAGCUCAACUCCAGAACUGCCUUUGAUACUGAGGAUCUUGAGUUCGGGAGAGGUGAGUGGAACUGCGAGUGUAGAGGUGAAAUUCGUAGAUAUUCGCAAGAACACCAGUGGCGAAGGCGGCUCACUGGCCCGAUACUGACGCUGAUGCACGAAAGCGUGGGGAGCAAACAGG
Molecule: ribosomal RNA, 253 nt
Filed under: uncultured bacterium
Lineage: Bacteria
Description: partial 16S ribosomal RNA
Rfam family: Bacterial small subunit ribosomal RNA
Source: RNAcentral